UUUAUUUAUUACUGCAGCUGCCGAUAACAAGAAGAAUAAAAUCCAAGGCUCAUACUUCAACAACAAUAGCUAUGAAACUCAAGUAUUUGAUUUUGCUUUCAAUUUUUGUUUUUUCCAUCAAAGCGAAACCUUACUGUUACCCAUGUGGUAUGCUGCAAUGUACCAAACGUUACUGCGCAGAAGAUGAGGUUUUGAUUACAGAUAUUUGUGGAUGUUGUCAAGAAUGCCAGAAGAAAGUUUUAGGAGAAGGGGACAAUUGCCGAGGACCAUGGGUAAAUCGACCAAAUGCUUGUGAUAAGGGUCCCAUAUUCUUAUGGGACUUGUCAAAAAAUAAAAUAUAAUUGAAUAACGAUUUGCUUAUCAAAUAAAAUAUAUCUACAGUUUUUCGUGUGAGAACAAUG
Leptinotarsa decemlineata (Colorado potato beetle) is the source of this 401-nucleotide long non-coding RNA. RefSeq lists it as uncharacterized. The record is from RefSeq and is a predicted model, not a curated record. Lineage: Eukaryota; Metazoa; Arthropoda; Insecta; Coleoptera; Chrysomelidae.